CACUGAGUAAGUCUCUUUUGGUAGAGCAUUUGGCGCGUAACCAAAAGAUCCAGGUUCGAGUCCUGGUCUGGGCUGUCUGA
RNAcentral lists this transfer RNA (80 nucleotides) under Cotesia glomerata. RNAcentral's name for it is "tRNA-Thr". The record is from RNAcentral. Lineage: Eukaryota; Metazoa; Arthropoda; Insecta; Hymenoptera; Braconidae.